UGGUGACAGUUUGAAUUUUACAGUGUACUUU
Molecule: non-coding RNA, 31 nt
Filed under: Rattus norvegicus (Norway rat)
Lineage: Eukaryota; Metazoa; Chordata; Mammalia; Rodentia; Muridae
Source: RNAcentral